Triticum aestivum (bread wheat) is the source of this 2984-nucleotide long non-coding RNA. RefSeq lists it as uncharacterized. NCBI's taxonomy places the organism in Eukaryota, Viridiplantae, Streptophyta, Magnoliopsida, Poales, Poaceae. The transcript is spliced from 3 exons. The record is from RefSeq and is a predicted model, not a curated record.
CUUGUAAACUGACCGAAGCCCCCACGAUCCACCCCUGCAUCCAGCGCCGCCCGAGCCCGCUCCCUACAGCGCACCGCCGCCCCUGGCCUCCUACCUCCUCCAGCCAAGCUCGCCGCCGCCCAGGCCUCCUUCCUCCUUAGGCCAAGCUCGCCGCCGCCCCCGGUCCUCCUACCUCCUCCGGCCAAGCUCGCCGCCGCCCCGGGCCUCCUUCCUCCUCCGGCCAAGCGCGCCACUGCCCCCGCUCCUCCUUCUUCCUUCGGCCAAGCAGCGCGCCAUUGCCGACGGCGCGCCUUACCUCAUGCGUGGCCGUGGCCCCUGCCGCACCCCCACCGCUACCCUAUCCGUGGAUCCCCGCGGCGCGACAUGGAGGUCGCCACCUCCCGCGGCCAUGGCGAACACCUCCGCCGCUGGGCUAGCUCUAGCGCCGCCCCCUCACCUGCCCUCCCCCUCCAGCAACUCUACUAGCACGCCCGACGCUCCCUCCGGCGAGCAGCUCCGCGCCACACGAUAGUUCCCCCCAUGCCUAUGGUCCUUUGCAUCCAGCACUGCUAACACGCAACCUCUUCUACGGUUUCUCUUCAUUAUGGCAUUCAGUUGCGGUUCAACAAGAAUAACAGGAGCAGUACAUACAUCUCUUUUCCCUCUACUGCUCUUUUCUCUCACUAAUUUGUUUCUCUCUGUAGUGCAGCACGAGGGAGGUUGGACGGAUUGCAAGAAAAAAAAGCUCAGUUCUACAGGCAGCGCCCGCCGCCCACACGGACUACUUCCUCCUGUCCUCGUCAAGGUAUCGGGCUCACAUCAGUCCAACUAUUCCUCACUUAUCCGUCUGAGCUCCUCCUGCCAUGCUCCUUCACAUAUGAGCUUUUGCCGGCACUGGUGCACGCCGCCACACGUUCAAAGUGUCUAUUGGAAAAAGUUCAGAAGUUUGGUUCCAUAAAAAGUUGCACUUGUUCAUCUGGAAAAGAUCAUGAAAGUUGAGAAGUCAAGGUGCCUAGCACUUAUUUGAUGAAAUGGCAAGCUAAACAAACAUAUUACAGAUGCAGAUAUCAACUUAGCUCAGUUGUGCAUAUGACAGCAUGAUCUAACUUUCCCCCCAAUCUGAUGUGAUUUUAUUUGUAUCAAAUGAACUCACAGAAAAGUUGCACACAAAGAGCAUCUUCUAAAAUGGUUAAGAUCUAUUUUAUAAUUUGCCAGAUAAAGAAAUUUAUAUAGUACUCUUUAAUCAUUUUGUAGUCCCUCUAGAAUGUUUGUUGAUGGUUAGCAAUAAGCAGACCAAAGCAGGGACAAUUCUUUCACUUGUAUGAGACGAACAUAUUUGAUUUCUCAUGAAACCUGUAAAAGUCUAAUUUCAUAACCUUAAGAAAUUACCAAAUGGAUGAGCAAAGUAGUAUUACCACUGUACUGAAUAUUCUGCAGUGGUUAGUAUACUAGAGAGUAAAACUGUGCCAUAUUGUUUGGUUUAAUUUCUGUUUAGUUUUGUGUUCUGUUGUUUUCCCUAGUUGAUCCAUGUGUUAUUGCUUCUAUGUUGUGCACUUCUAAUUCCAUCAUGAAGGAAAGAAGAUAAGCGAGCUAAGUACUUGUUUGGAAAGUUGGUAAGUUCGUACACAUAAACCUAAAGAAGUUCAUUGAAAAAGUUUGGCUUUGUUUAAAAAUAUGUGAUUUUUGGUUGGAAAAUCAUUGAGGAAAUAGUUAAUUUUUGCUAACUCCUGCAGUUCUCUGGUUGGAAAAUUAAUGGUUCAAUUUGCUGAGUCCUUUGGUCUACAAAUUUAUUUCUGUUUGUAUGUAAGUGGCUUAGGCAACAGAAAAAAGCGAGCAGUUCUGUUCAAGGGAGUUCAAAAAUUAACAUACAUGAAGUUCUUGAUUAUUUCGGUUAUUUUGUAUGAUUUAUUUUUUUGCAAAAUCUUGAUGUCAUUUUGCCUUGCAGAUAAAUUUUUUACUGAGUGUACUGGGUCCCUACUGGCUGUAGCAGCUUACUUUAAAGAACUGAACCUUACUGUCUCCAGAUUAGCAUAGAAACUAGGGACGCGGAGUUUGUGAUCCCGAGCACACAGGUGCUCGUUAUCUUAGCCGCUGAGAAUAGCAUCGCGAUGGGUGCAUUGAAUUCUUGUCAGGGACUAUGGUCAUUUGUUAAUGUGGUAAAGCAGGCAUACGGGCGCCGAGGUAAGUGACGGCCACGGGACGGCGUCGACGGUUUGAAUCCGAGCCGUGGCUCGUGACGUCACGUGCGUCCUGAUCCGCGGGCCAGAAAACAUGCUUUCCGGUUAGGAGAAGAACCAUCAUGGUUCCUGGAGGAGGUCAAUGCCAACGAGAUUCCGAUUGAGCUUCUGCAGUAUCCAGUACUAGCACCUGUGCCAGAAUUGCCUACGCAGUUGUCAAUGGAGGAGCUGCUGCCUUGGCAGCGGACAUCGGCGUGGGUCAAAUCUGUGCGGCGGUGGGGGUGGCGGACGGUGACAUUGCACUCUAACAGACGCAAGCGUCAGAACAGUCUGAGUAGAUCGGCCCAAAAGCGCCUGGAUGGACACAAAGUAGCAACCUGUCCGGACCGUGGGGAAGCUCCAGAACAAGCUGGUCGACCAACUUGAUGCAAGAACUGUGGAGUAGAGGGUCAGCGACGAAACAAAUGAAACAAAGCAGCGGAGCUAAGACUGAAAAGGGACUGAAAAAUGAUGCAUGGUUGACGUAAAACAAAAUGCAGGGGAACCAAUGGAGCUAAGGCUAGAGAGCAGCUGAAAUUUAGUUAUCCUUUACUGCAAUGUCAAUUUGAUGGCGUGUAUAAUUAGCAGGAGUGGUGCAAACAUACUGUAACAUGUGUGAGCAUCAUGCAAAUCCGUUUGCACUGAAUAAACCUAGACUUUUAUAUAGUGUAACAUCGACCUGACUUCUGUGUGAGAUGCAUGAUGCAGUUUAGCUGCUCAUAUUUCUGAACAUGUUAUGCAUGCCCUGAACCUGAUGAAUAAAAUGCAAGGACUCCUUUCCCUUCUGGA